UCGGAUUGUAGUCUGCAACUCGACUACAUGAAGCUGGAAUCGCUAGUAAUCGCGGAUCAGAAUGCCGCGGUGAAUACGUUCCCGGGUCUUGUACACACCGCCCGUCACACCAUGGGAGUCGGAAAUGCCCGAAGCCGGUGACUCAACCUUUAAGGAGAGAGCCGUCGAAGGCAGGUCUGAUAACUGGGGUGAAGUCGUAACAAGGUAUC
RNAcentral lists this ribosomal RNA (209 nucleotides) under uncultured bacterium. RNAcentral describes it as "partial 16S ribosomal RNA". It matches the Rfam family "Bacterial small subunit ribosomal RNA", at positions 1293 to 1500 of the family's 1533-position model. The record is from RNAcentral.